This 594-nucleotide ribosomal RNA is filed under the name uncultured bacterium. RNAcentral describes it as "bacterial SSU rRNA". It matches the Rfam family "Bacterial small subunit ribosomal RNA", at positions 338 to 951 of the family's 1533-position model. The record is from RNAcentral.
CCUACGGGAGGCAGCAGUGGGGAAUCUUGCGCAAUGGGCGAAAGCCUGACGCAGCCAUGCCGCGUGAAUGAUGAAGGUCUUAGGAUUGUAAAAUUCUUUCAGUAGGGACGAUAAUGACGGUACCUACAGAAGAAGCCCCGGCUAACUUCGUGCCAGCAGCCGCGGUAAUACGAAGGGGGCUAGCGUUGCUCGGAAUUACUGGGCGUAAAGGGAGCGUAGGCGGACAUUUAAGUCAGGGGUGAAAUCCCAGAGCUCAACUCUGGAACUGCCUUUGAUACUGGGUGUCUUGAGUGUGAGAGAGGUAUGUGGAACUCCGAGUGUAGAGGUGAAAUUCGUAGAUAUUCGGAAGAACACCAGUGGCGAAGGCGACAUACUGGCUCAUUACUGACGCUGAGGCUCGAAAGCGUGGGGAGCAAACAGGAUUAGAUACCCUGGUAGUCCACGCCGUAAACGAUGAUUGCUAGUUGUCGGGAUGUUUACAUCUCGGUGACGCAGCUAACGCAUUAAGCAAUCCGCCUGGGGAGUACGGUCGCAAGAUUAAAACUCAAAGGAAUUGACGGCUGAGACGUGCGAGGACGACGACGAGGGAGGAGG